GACAGAGGGUGCAAGCGUUGCUCGGAAUUACUGGGCGUAAAGGGCUCGUAGGCGGCCAACUAAGUCAGACGUGAAAUCCCUCGGCUUAACCGGGGAACUGCGUCUGAUACUGGAUGGCUUGAGAUUGGGAGAGGGAUGCGGAAUUCCAGGUGUAGCGGUGAAAUGCGUAGAUAUCCGGAGGAACACCGGUGGCGAAGGCAGGUCUCUGGGCUGACACUGACGCUCAUGCACGAAAGCGUGGGGAGCAAACAGG
RNAcentral lists this ribosomal RNA (253 nucleotides) under uncultured bacterium. RNAcentral describes it as "partial 16S ribosomal RNA". It matches the Rfam family "Bacterial small subunit ribosomal RNA", at positions 524 to 776 of the family's 1533-position model. The record is from RNAcentral.